ACGUACACUCCUGCGGGAGGCAGCAGUGAGGAAUAUUGGACAAUGGGUGGAAGCCUGAUCCAGCCAUCCCGCGUGCAGGAAGACGGCCCUAUGGGUUGUAAACUGCUUUUAUCUGGGGAUAAACCUACUUACGUGUAAGUAGCUGAAGGUACCAGAAGAAUAAGCACCGGCUAACUCCGUGCCAGCAGCCGCGGUAAUACGGAGGGUGCAAGCGUUAUCCGGAUUUAUUGGGUUUAAAGGGUCCGUAGGCGGACUGAUAAGUCAGUGGUGAAAUCCGACAGCUUAACUGUCGAACUGCCAUUGAUACUGUUAGUCUUGAGUAAGGUUGAAGUGGCUGGAAUAAGUAGUGUAGCGGUGAAAUGCAUAGAUAUUACUUAGAACACCAAUUGCGAAGGCAGGUCACUAAGUCUUAACUGACGCUGAUGGACGAAAGCGUGGGGAGCGAACAGGAUUAGAAACCCCGGUAGUCCC
This 471-nucleotide ribosomal RNA is filed under the name uncultured organism. RNAcentral's name for it is "partial 16S ribosomal RNA". It matches the Rfam family "Bacterial small subunit ribosomal RNA", at positions 329 to 797 of the family's 1533-position model. The record is from RNAcentral.